This 256-nucleotide ribosomal RNA is filed under the name uncultured bacterium. RNAcentral's name for it is "partial 16S ribosomal RNA". It matches the Rfam family "Bacterial small subunit ribosomal RNA", at positions 524 to 776 of the family's 1533-position model. The record is from RNAcentral.
GACAGAGGCCUCAAGCGUUAGGCGGAAUCACUGGGCGUAAAGGGUGCGUAGGCGGGUCUUUUAAGUCAGGGGUGAAAUCCUGGAGCUCAACUCCAGAACUGCCUUUGAUACUGAGGAUCUUGAGUUCGGGAGAGGUGAGUGGAACUGCGAGUGUAGAGGUGAAAUUCGUAGAUAUUCGCAAGAACACCAGUGGCGAAGGCGGCUCACUGGCCCGAUACUGACGCUGAGGCACGAAAAGCGUGGGGGAGCAAACAGG